This is a long non-coding RNA of Anguilla rostrata (American eel), 540 nucleotides long. RefSeq lists it as uncharacterized. The record is from RefSeq and is a predicted model, not a curated record. The transcript has 2 exons. Lineage: Eukaryota; Metazoa; Chordata; Actinopteri; Anguilliformes; Anguillidae.
GUUAAGUUGUGGCCUACUGUGGGAGAAAGGAAUUGCGACGUGCAAAGAAGUACAAAUAGGCAAUAGGAUAAACAUAUUUUUUAGUAGUGAAGGUGGCCGUAUUUCCCAGAAUACCACUGCAUGGCUGAUGUAGAUGUGGCACAGAGUGCUAUGCAAAUGGUAGCACGCCAGGCACAAACCCGCACGCUAAGCUAGCGGUAGCACACCAGGCACGGACCCGCACGCUAAGCUAGCGGUAGCACGCCAGGCACGGACCUGCACGCUAAGCUAGCGGUAGCACAUCAGGCACAGACCCACGCGCUACACUAGCGGUAGCACACCAGGCACAAACCCACGUGCUAAGCUAGCGGUAGCAUGCCAGGCAAAAACCUGAGUGUUACGCUAACCACAGCACGAGAUGCUCAGACCCGAGUGCUACAUCAGCGACGGCACACAGAAGCACACACAACUAGCACACAUGCUGCGGCGCGCAGGGGAGCAGGCAGGCUUACCUUCUACAGGGGAGAAAAGAACGGUGAAGGAGGAGGAGGAGGAGGAGGA